CACCAACUUCUCUAUUCUUUGCCUACUUUGUGUUUGUAAUUGUUUUCCAGUAAUAGCAGCUUGCCCAUUCCAUGUAAGGCAUCCUGGUGAGUAAGGAAGAUCAGAUGGAACACUUAAAUCAUUGUGAUCACCUUUGAAUGCAAUUACCCAUGAUUCUGAAGGUUGUGAUGGUUGUUGUCUCUGUUGAAGCCUUAUUUUUUCUUCUGACACAACCAUAGGGCUUAUAGCUGGUUCAUCUUCUAGUUCUGGAUUCUCAAAAGCAGUAGCACAACUUGAAGUCUCCCUAUAGACCCUUGGUGUAGGCAUGAAAACAAA
This 315-nucleotide long non-coding RNA is filed under the name Nicotiana benthamiana. RNAcentral describes it as "long non-coding RNA (NBEN_LNC001828)". Lineage: Eukaryota; Viridiplantae; Streptophyta; Magnoliopsida; Solanales; Solanaceae. The record is from RNAcentral.